UCCUUCCUCUCCUGGUGUAGGGAACUAUCUUUUGAGUGCGGCAAGUUGUAGCGGGCACCGCUGUUUUCCUUUGGGCACUUCUAUCUAGAAGCUGAGUUAGUUUCUUCCAAAAUGAGCCACUUCGUCCCCCUGGCCCGUCCUCCUGAAUAAGGAAGCAACCGCCAAGCAUCAGCGGAGCCCUGAUGAGCCUGGGCUGUGAAGUCGCUUAGCUGUCUCCCGGGACCCAGCUCCGGAGGAGCCGCAAGCAUGCACCCUGGGUUGUGGCUGCUCCUGGUUACGUUGUGCCUGACUGAGGAACUGGCAGGAGCCGCACUUUCCAGCCUUAAAGCUUAAAGAUUCCUCACCUGCUUCUAGUGACUGGCCCUAG
RNAcentral lists this long non-coding RNA (367 nucleotides) under Canis lupus dingo (dingo). RNAcentral describes it as "lncRNA (ENSCAFG00020005781.1)". Lineage: Eukaryota; Metazoa; Chordata; Mammalia; Carnivora; Canidae. The record is from RNAcentral.